UUGUUGGAGAGUUUGAUCCUGGCUCAGGACGAACGCUGGCGGCGUGCUUAACACAUGCAAGUCGAGCGGUAAGGCCCUUCGGGGUACACGAGCGGCGAACGGGUGAGUAACACGUGGGUAAUCUGCCCUGCACUCUGGGAUAAGCCCGGGAAACUGGGUCUAAUACCGGAUACGACUUG
RNAcentral lists this non-coding RNA (179 nucleotides) under Kibdelosporangium aridum. RNAcentral's name for it is "Bacterial small subunit ribosomal RNA". It matches the Rfam family "Bacterial small subunit ribosomal RNA", at positions 1 to 182 of the family's 1533-position model. Lineage: Bacteria; Bacillati; Actinomycetota; Actinomycetes; Pseudonocardiales; Pseudonocardiaceae. The record is from Rfam by way of RNAcentral.